Molecule: ribosomal RNA, 253 nt
Filed under: uncultured archaeon
Lineage: Archaea
Description: partial 16S ribosomal RNA
Rfam family: Archaeal small subunit ribosomal RNA
Source: RNAcentral
UACCCGCUCCGCGAGUGGUGAGGACUAUUACUGGGCUUAAAGCGUCCGUAGCCGGCCCGGCGUGCUCCGCGUUAAAUCCAGCAGCCUAACUGCUGGGCUGCGCGGAUGACUGCCGGGCUUGGGGGUGGGAGAGGGCGGCGGUAUUCCCGGGGUAGGGGUAAAAUCCACUGAUCCCGGGAGGACCACCAGUGGCGAAGGCGGCCGCCCAGAACACGCCCGACGGUGAGGGACGAAAGCUGGGGGAGCGAUCGGG